GACGAACCGUGCGAACGUUGUUCGGAUUCACUGGGCUUAAAGGGCGCGUAGGCGGGCGGUCAAGUCGGGGGUGAAAUCUUUCCGCUUAACGGGAAACGUGCCUCCGAUACUGAUCGCCUCGAGGGAGGUAGGGGCAUGUGGAACUUCCGGUGGAGCGGUGAAAUGCGUAGAUAUCAGGAGGAACACCGAUGGCGAAGGCAGGUCUCUGGGCUGACACUGACGCUCAUGCACGAAAGCGUGGGGAGCAAACAGG
RNAcentral lists this ribosomal RNA (253 nucleotides) under uncultured bacterium. Its description in RNAcentral is "partial 16S ribosomal RNA". It matches the Rfam family "Bacterial small subunit ribosomal RNA", at positions 524 to 776 of the family's 1533-position model. The record is from RNAcentral.